CCCCAACCUAACCCCAACCUAACCCCAACCUUUUUUUUUUUUUUUUUUUUUUUUUUUUUUUUUUUUUUUUUUUUUUUUUUUUUUUUUUUUUUUUUUUUUUUUUUUUUUUUUUUUUUUUUUUUUUUUUUUUUUUUUUUUUUUUUUUUUUUUUUCGCGCUCUUGCCCCCACCCAGCCGGAAACUCUCGUCGGCGUACCACGAUGUCGCCCACAGGUGGAACGGUUGUCCCCCA
RNAcentral lists this unclassified non-coding RNA (231 nucleotides) under Bombus terrestris (buff-tailed bumblebee). RNAcentral's name for it is "misc RNA ENSBTSG00005024225.1". The record is from RNAcentral. Lineage: Eukaryota; Metazoa; Arthropoda; Insecta; Hymenoptera; Apidae.